This 500-nucleotide ribosomal RNA is filed under the name uncultured bacterium. RNAcentral's name for it is "partial 16S ribosomal RNA". It matches the Rfam family "Bacterial small subunit ribosomal RNA", at positions 30 to 523 of the family's 1533-position model. The record is from RNAcentral.
AUUGAACGCUGGCGGCAUGCCUUACACAUGCAAGUCGAACGGCAGCACGGGAGCAUUCCUGGUGGCGAGUGGCGAACGGGUGAGUAAAGUAUCGGAACGUGCCCAGUCGUGGGGGAUAACGUAGCGAAAGUUACGCUAAUACCGCACACGAUCUAUGGAUGAAAGCGGGGGAUCGCAAGACCUCGCGCGAUUGGAGCGGGCGAUAUCAGAUUAGGUAGUUGGUGGGGUAAAGGCUCACCAAGCCGACGAUCUGUAGCUGGUCUGAGAGGACGACCAGCCACACUGGGACUGAGACACGGCCCAGACUCCUACGGGAGGCAGCAGUGGGGAAUUUUGGACAAUGGGCGAAAGCCUGAUCCAGCCAUGCCGCGUGCAGGAUGAAGGCCUUCGGGUUGUAAACUGCUUUUGUACGGAACGAAAAGGUUUGGCCUAAUAAGCUGGGCUCAUGACGGUACCGUAAGAAUAAGCACCGGCUAACUACGUGCCAGCCGCCGCGGUAA